Long non-coding RNA from Rhineura floridana, 1719 nucleotides. RefSeq lists it as uncharacterized. The transcript is spliced from 4 exons. The record is from RefSeq and is a predicted model, not a curated record. Lineage: Eukaryota; Metazoa; Chordata; Lepidosauria; Squamata; Rhineuridae.
ACAUUGCUGCUCUGCUUGCUGGAAGUCUGAGGCUUGGCUUGGCUUGACUUGGGGCACUGUGGGUGAGGAAUAAUAAUAUUCAUUCUUUUUGAUGACCCAAUACCGACCUGUGCUGCCCUUGAUGGGAAUGGCCUUAAACUGCAAGAGAGAGUCUCUGUCCCCAGCAUCUGCAGAAAUCGGUCAAUGGGACUUAACUGUCGAAUGGCAUUAUAGUUGGAUGCAAUAUGCAGGCAUGGUCACUGCUUCUGAGGGGAUGAAACCUGCCAAAUGUCAGACUGACAGCUGCAGUGGUUCUCCUGUAGAGGCAGGAGUUUACUGUUUGGGAUGGGGACAGUCGGAAUCAUAGGAGGGGCAGAUGGUGAUGGUGCAAAGAAAGAACAUGGAUCCCCAGGAAAGACUGGUGUGGGGGAAACUUCACACCCCAGCAAUGACUCUCUUAACCCAAGGCACUACGCUGAGCAAGUCACCUGGUCACAGUCUUCUCUACUAUGGAACUGAAGCAGGAUAAAAGAAAUGAGCAAGCACAUCCCUCGGCAUUGGUGGCUCUAUUGUGCCAUUUUUGGCUCUCUUAAAAACAAUGGUCUCUGUCCAGUCUCAGCUUUGGAGUCUCCUUAUCGUCGCUACUGCGCUGCAUCACUCUCCCAACCUUUUCUUGGCAUUCAGGAAGGAAAAGGAUACAGAGCAAGCGAAGACAGCCAUGAUGGGGGAUGGAUCAGUUUUUGCUAAAACUGCGUUAUUACAUUCUUCUCUGCGUGUCAAGGAACAAAACCACAAGCAUUUUGCCUGCCUCUUUCGGUCGCAGUCGAGGCAGCAGAAAAGCCACAGGACAAACCUGGGACGGGAAAAAAACCCAUUGAAAAUAAAUCAUGUUCUUUUGUCAGGGGCCUGAAGCCUUUUACAAUCAGAUCUUCAUCUGACUUGGCUCAGUCUAGUGGAAGCAGGAAAUGACUGUGCUAUGGAGGUUGCUUUUGCCUAUUGCAAUCAGUGGCAUUCUUCUGCUUUCCUCUGUGUUGAUGCUUUUUAGGACCUGCAAGAUAGGCAUGAAAUUGGUGAUCCCAUAUUCUCAGGACUGAGGACCUCAUGCUGAGAGAAUCUGACCUCAGAUCGCUUUCCCCACAGCUCUUGGUAGCAACUAAUCCUGCUAGUUGGCUGGAGGAGGUGCAUGGAUUCCUGCUUCGGUCAAGACACUAGCAAUGCUUCGCAUUUUAAUGUUGAACGUGGCUAAUCUGCACUUCUUGACUCUGUGCAAAAACUGAAAUACAGCUAUGCUUCACAAUUGGUGUACUGGUCUCUGGAUAUUGCAAAGCAGUGCUCGGUAGCGGCCGGUGGGGUGGCAUGGGUGAGGCUGCGUUGCUCUCCCGGCUUCCCGACACUGCAAGUCAUUGCUGCUGACCGAGAGGGGAGAGGAGAAGGGGGGCAAGGUGUGGGGACUUCAGUGUGGUGCUGUUGGUCAGUGACGCAGGCUGUGAGACUCACAGACAAGGUUUUUAGCAGAGAGAGAGAAACCUGAAGCAGAAGGGUUAAGCUGUGAGAACAGAGUGCCAGACAAUCAAGGUCAGUGGCUGGCUGGGAGUGUGAUAAGGUGGGAAACUGGCAGGAACUCAGUGUGGGGGAAGAAAUGUCAAUGGAGAGAGCUGUGUCUAAUGUCUUUGCCUAGUAAAGACUCUUACAAGAAACUUGCCUGGCCUGUCUUAUUCCUGUUCUAUACGGCGCUUGAAU